Molecule: RNA transcript, 711 nt
Organism: Myotis brandtii (Brandt's bat)
Lineage: Eukaryota; Metazoa; Chordata; Mammalia; Chiroptera; Vespertilionidae
Gene name: elongation factor 1-alpha 1 pseudogene
Exons: 1
Source: RefSeq, a predicted model, not a curated record
GUCGUGAAAACCACCGCUAACUCAAACGCAAGAUGGGAAAGGAAAAGACUCACAUCAACAUCAUCAUCAUUGGACACGUAGAUUCCGGCAAGUCCACCACUACUGGCCAUCUGAUCUACAAACGUGGGGGCAUCGACAAGAGAAUCAUCGAGAAAUUUGAGAAGAAGGCUGCUGAGAUGGGGAGGGGCUCCUUCAAGUGUGCCUGGGUCUUGAAUAAACUGAAAGCUGAACGGGAGCGAGGUAUCACCAUUGAUAUCUCCUGUGGAAAUUCGAGACCAGCAAGUAUUAUGUGACCUUCAUUGAUGCCACAGGGCACAGAGACUUCAUCAAAAAAAUGAUUGCAGUUUCUGGGAAAAAGCUGGAAGAUGGCCCUAAGUUUUUGAAAUCUGGUGAUGCUGCCAUCGUUGAUAUGAUUCCUGGCAAGGCCAUGUGUGUUGAGAGCUUCUCUGACUACCUUCCUCUGGGCCGUUUUGCUGUUCGUGACAUGAGACAGACAGUUGCUGUGGGUGUCAUCAAAGCAGUGGACAAGAAGGCAGCUGGAGCUGGCAAAGUCACCAAGUCUGCCCAGAAAGCUCAGAAGGCUAAAUGAAUAUUAUUUCCAACACCUGCCACCCCAGUCUUAAUCAGUGGUGGAAGAACGGUCUCAGAACUGUUUGUCUCAAUUGGCCAUUUAAGUUUAAUAGUAAAAGACUGGUUAAUGAUUACAAUGCA